CAGCCGCCGCGGUAAUACGUAGGGCGCGAGCGUUAAUCGGAAUUACUGGGCGUAAAGCGUGCGCAGGCGGUUCGUUAAGACAGAUGUGAAAUCCCCGGGCUUAACCUGGGAACUGCAUUUGUGACUGGCGAGCUAGAGUAUGGCAGAGGGGGGUAGAAUUCCACGUGUAGCAGUGAAAUGCGUAGAGAUGUGGAGGAAUACGAUGGCGAAGGCAGCCCCCUGGGCCAAUACUGACGCCCAUGCACGAAAGCGUGGGGAGCAAACAGGAUUAGAUACCCGCGUAGUCCCUGUCUCUUAUACA
Molecule: ribosomal RNA, 301 nt
Filed under: uncultured bacterium
Lineage: Bacteria
Description: partial 16S ribosomal RNA
Rfam family: Bacterial small subunit ribosomal RNA
Source: RNAcentral